AUCCGGUGAACACUUUGGAUUUUGGUCCGUUGGCUGUAACAGGUCUUUGGACAUAAGAGAAGUCGUGUAAAUCUUAUCAUUUAGAGGAAGGUGAAGUCGUAACAAGGUU
This 109-nucleotide ribosomal RNA is filed under the name Blastocystis sp. Sh779. RNAcentral describes it as "partial small subunit ribosomal RNA". Lineage: Eukaryota; Bigyra; Opalinata; Blastocystidae. The record is from RNAcentral.